GCUUGCGCAAACCCUUGAGAUGGGUGGUUGCAAUCUCCCCGACUCUAGGGGCUCUAGGGGUGCCUGCGAUGGCCCAGACAAACCCAUGGGAAAAAAAUAAAAUCAUAUUCUUAUUAGAAGAAGAUUAGGCCUCGAAUCAUGCCAGGUUCAACUUAGGAGAUGGUUUGCCUAGCCAGCUAACCAUAGGAGUACAUAAAAAUGCACGAUUACACAGCUGGACCGUAUCAGGCUCGAUGUCUGUCAUCAAAUCCAAGCGUGACAACAGGAAAGUCAUCAACAGGAUUGUAUUUGGUCCGGCCACCAAUGCUGUCUUCUUCCAUAACUGCUUCGUCGAGGUAAUCACUACACAAUGUCCCCUCAACUCCUCGUUUAAUUAUUAAACUACUUCGUCUAGAAGUUUAAACAGCUUUAUAGGGCCUAACAAGUGCACAAUUUUCAUAAAUAGUUGGCAUCAAGAGCAAGAGUCGAGCCCACAAUUGUUGUCUUCUCUAUAACUAUUUCAUCUAAAAGUUUAAGCAAUCAAAUUUUAUCUUAUAAUUAUUUAUGAAUUGUGUUGCUUGAAGGGUGUGAUACAUCAUUAAUUAUAACAAGAAGAAUGGGAAGCAAAGAACUAUCAGAGAAGGACGCAAAGGAUAAUAAAGAACUAGCAGUGGAGUCAUUUGAUAGCAUAAAAAAGGCAAAAUCAUUGGUGGCGAGCAAGUUUCCCUCGAGUUGUAACCUGUGCAUAUGUACCUGUAAUUGCAGACAGAGAUUCUGUCGAUUUUUGGUAAGAUAUAUUUUUGUGUUUUUCCAGUUCUCAACUCAAAAAUCAAAAUUAGGGCCUCAAAUGGUAAUCCUAUUAGAAUCAUGGGGCAUUUGCAAAAAUGUCCAAUUUUACAUAUGUCAAUUUAAAAAUGUCCA
RNAcentral lists this long non-coding RNA (900 nucleotides) under Olea europaea subsp. europaea. The record is from RNAcentral. Lineage: Eukaryota; Viridiplantae; Streptophyta; Magnoliopsida; Lamiales; Oleaceae.